This 73-nucleotide transfer RNA is filed under the name Patescibacteria group bacterium. RNAcentral's name for it is "tRNA-Pro". It matches the Rfam family "tRNA". Rfam says of the family: Transfer RNA (tRNA) molecules are approximately 80 nucleotides in length. Their secondary structure includes four short double-helical elements and three loops (D, anti-codon, and T loops). Further hydrogen bonds mediate the characteristic L-shaped molecular structure. tRNAs have two regions of fundamental functional importance: the anti-codon, which is responsible for specific mRNA codon recognition, and the 3' end, to which the tRNAs corresponding amino acid is attached (by aminoacyl-tRNA synthetases). tRNAs cope with the degeneracy of the genetic code in two manners: having more than one tRNA (with a specific anti-codon) for a particular amino acid; and 'wobble' base-pairing, i.e. permitting non-standard base-pairing at the 3rd anti-codon position. The record is from RNAcentral. RNAcentral also lists the same sequence under 1 other name.
CGGAGUAUAGUUCAGAUGGUAGAACACACGGUUCGGGACCGUGAGGUCGUGAGUUCAAGUCUCACUACUCCGA